GUUGAGGUCUAUCCCGAUAGGAUCUCUUCUGUAGGUUCCUGUCGUUGGAAAUGCCUCACAGAAUAAACUUGUAGUUUUGCUUUACCCAUUGAGCUACUUGUUAGCUCUGUGGGAUAAAAACUGCAAGACAGAU
Apteryx haastii (Great spotted kiwi) is the source of this 133-nucleotide small nucleolar RNA. The record is from Ensembl. Lineage: Eukaryota; Metazoa; Chordata; Aves; Apterygiformes; Apterygidae.